Molecule: ribosomal RNA, 497 nt
Filed under: uncultured bacterium
Lineage: Bacteria
Description: partial 16S ribosomal RNA
Rfam family: Bacterial small subunit ribosomal RNA
Source: RNAcentral
GAUGAACGCUGGCGGCGUGCCUAAUACAUGCAAGUCGAGCGAACAGACGAGGAGCUUGCUCCGCGGACGUUAGGGGCGGACGGGUGAGUAACACGUGUAUAACCUACCUAUAAGACGGAGAUAAUUUCGAGAAACCGGAGCUAAUACGGGAGAAGAUAUUGAAGCGCAUGGGUGAAUGGUAAAAUACGGUGGUGCGGUCACUUAUCGAGGGAUCUGGGCCGGUGUGGAUGGUUGGUAAGGUAAAGGGUUAUGAAGGUAACCAUGCGUAGCCGAACGGAGAGGGUGGUCGGCCACACUGGAACUGAGCCGCGGUCAUGGGGACUGAGGGAGGCAGCAGUAGGGAAUCUUACGCAAUGGGCGAAAGCAUUGCGGAGCAACGCGAAGUGAGUGAUGAAAAUCUCCGGAUCGUAAAGCUCUGUUAUUAGGGAAGAACCAAUGUGUACGUAACUAUGCAGGUAUUGACGGUAAUUAGUCAGAAAGCCCCGGCUAACUACGUG